CAGAGCCGCGGUAAAACAGAGGGUGCAAGCGUUAAUCGGAAUUACUGGGCGUAAAGCGCGCGUAGGUGGUUUGUUAAGUUGGAUGUGAAAUCCCCGGGCUCAACCUGGGAACUGCAUCCAAAACUGGCAAGCUAGAGUAUGGUAGAGGGUGGUGGAAUUUCCUGUGUAGCGGUGAAAUGCGUAGAUAUAGGAAGGAACACCAGUGGCGAAGGCGACCACCUGGACUGAUACUGACACUGAGGUGCGAAAGCGUGGGGAGCAAACAGGAUUAGAUACCCCUGUAGUCCCUGUCUCUUAUACA
This 301-nucleotide ribosomal RNA is filed under the name uncultured bacterium. RNAcentral describes it as "partial 16S ribosomal RNA". It matches the Rfam family "Bacterial small subunit ribosomal RNA", at positions 509 to 808 of the family's 1533-position model. The record is from RNAcentral.